CGUACACUCCUACGGGAGGCAGCAGUGGGGAAUAUUGCACAAUGGGCGCAAGCCUGAUGCAGCCAUGCCGCGUGUAUGAAGAAGGCCUUCGGGUUGUAAAGUACUUUCAGCGGGGAGGAAGGCAAUACGGUUAAUAACCGUGUUGAUUGACGUUACCCGCAGAAGAAGCACCGGCUAACUCCGUGCCAGCAGCCGCGGUAAUACGGAGGGUGCAAGCGUUAAUCGGAAUUACUGGGCGUAAAGCGCACGCAGGCGGUCUGUCAAGUCGGAUGUGAAAUCCCCGGGCUCAACCUGGGAACUGCAUUCGAAACUGGCAGGCUUGAGCCUUGUAGAGGGGGGUAGAAUUCCAGGUGUAGCGGUGAAAUGCGUAGAGAUCUGGAGGAAUACCGGUGGCGAAGGCGGCCCCCUGGACAAAGACUGACGCUCAGGUGCGAAAGCGUGGGGAGCAAACAGGAUUAGAAACCCCAGUAGUCC
Molecule: ribosomal RNA, 474 nt
Filed under: uncultured organism
Description: partial 16S ribosomal RNA
Rfam family: Bacterial small subunit ribosomal RNA
Source: RNAcentral